RNAcentral lists this ribosomal RNA (474 nucleotides) under Salmonella enterica subsp. enterica serovar Anatum. RNAcentral describes it as "partial 23S ribosomal RNA". It matches the Rfam family "Bacterial large subunit ribosomal RNA", at positions 46 to 559 of the family's 2925-position model. Lineage: Bacteria; Pseudomonadati; Pseudomonadota; Gammaproteobacteria; Enterobacterales; Enterobacteriaceae. The record is from RNAcentral. RNAcentral also lists the same sequence under 1 other name.
GCGAUGAAGGGCGUGCUAAUCUGCGAUAAGCGCCGGUAAGGUGAUAUGAACCGUUAUAACCGGCGAUACCCGAAUGGGGAAACCCAGUGUGAUUCGUCACACUAUCAUUAACUGAAUCCAUAGGUUAAUGAGGCGAACCGGGGGAACUGAAACAUCUAAGUACCCCGAGGAAAAGAAAUCAACCGAGAUUCCCCCAGUAGCGGCGAGCGAACGGGGAGGAGCCCAGAGCCUGAAUCAGCAUGUGUGUUAGUGGAAGCGUCUGGAAAGGCGCGCGAUACAGGGUGACAGCCCCGUACACAAAAGCGCAUGUGCUGUGAGCUCGAUGAGUAGGGCGGGACACGUGGUAUCCUGUCUGAAUAUGGGGGGACCAUCCUCCAAGGCUAAAUACUCCUGACUGACCGAUAGUGAACCAGUACCGUGAGGGAAAGGCGAAAAGAACCCCGGCGAGGGGAGUGAAAAAGAACCUGAAACCGU